RNAcentral lists this ribosomal RNA (580 nucleotides) under uncultured rumen bacterium. Its description in RNAcentral is "bacterial SSU rRNA". It matches the Rfam family "Bacterial small subunit ribosomal RNA", at positions 164 to 758 of the family's 1533-position model. The record is from RNAcentral.
UAAUACCGCAUAAGACCACGUUGGGGCAUCCCAAAGGGGUCAAAGGAGCAAUCCGGUGAAGGGUGGGCUCGCGUCCGAUUAGAUAGUUGGUGAGGUAACGGCCCACCAAGUCGACGAUCGGUAGCCGACCUGAGAGGGUGAUCGGCCACAUUGGGACUGAGACACGGCCCAAACUCCUACGGGAGGCAGCAGUGGGGAAUAUUGGGCAAUGGGGGAAACCCUGACCCAGCAACGCCGCGUGAGGGAAGAAGGUUUUCGGAUCGUAAACCUCUGUCCUUGGUGAAGAGGAAGAGACGGUAGCCAAGGAGGAAGCCCCGGCUAACUACGUGCCAGCAGCCGCGGUAAUACGUAGGGGGCGAGCGUUGUCCGGAAUGAUUGGGCGUAAAGGGCGCGUAGGCGGCCCGGUAAGUCUGGAGUGAAAGUCCUGCUUUUAAGGUGGGAAUUGCUUUGGAUACUGUCGGGCUUGAGUGCAGGAGAGGUAAGUGGAAUUCCCAGUGUAGCGGUGAAAUGCGUAGAGAUUGGGAGGAACACCAGUGGCGAAGGCGACUUACUGGACUGUAACUGACGCUGAGGCGCGAAA